CUCCUCCAGACCCUGUGUCUGCAGUUAGCCAACAUCUAUAGCCUCAAAACAGAGAUAUCUGAGUCACUGUCAGAGUUAUCCAGUGAGCUGUGCUCAUUGUUGGGCCUGGUGACAGAAAACUGGCCCUUGACCCUGGUGCUGGAUGGUCUGGAUAAUCUGAUCCCAAGUUAAGGUCAGUGUCCUGUCCCUACCCGCCCUUAACCAUGAGGACAUUACAUCAGGACUGGUGUCAAG
Long non-coding RNA from Sinocyclocheilus anshuiensis, 234 nucleotides. RefSeq lists it as uncharacterized. NCBI's taxonomy places the organism in Eukaryota, Metazoa, Chordata, Actinopteri, Cypriniformes, Cyprinidae. The record is from RefSeq and is a predicted model, not a curated record. The transcript is spliced from 3 exons.